RNAcentral lists this ribosomal RNA (465 nucleotides) under uncultured bacterium. RNAcentral's name for it is "partial 16S ribosomal RNA". It matches the Rfam family "Bacterial small subunit ribosomal RNA", at positions 28 to 507 of the family's 1533-position model. The record is from RNAcentral.
GACGAAUGCUGGCGGCGUGCUUAACACAUGCUAGGCGAACGGAAAGGCCCUGCUUGCAGCGUACUCGAGUGGCUAACGGGUUAGUAACACGUGGGUGAUCUGCCCUGCACUUCGGGAUAAGCCUGGGUAACUGGGUCUAAUCCCGGACAUGAGCCAUUUUUAGUUUGAUGGUUGGAAAGUUUUUUCGUUGUAGGAUGAGCUCGCGGCCUAUCACCUUGUUGGUGGGGUAAUGGCCUACCAAUGCGGCGACGGGUAGCCGCCCUGAGAGGGUCGACGUCCAUAGUGGGACUGAGAUGCGGCCCAGACUCCGACGCGAGGCAGCAGUGGAGAAGAUUGCACAACGGGCGCAAGACUGAUGCAGCGACGCCGCGUGGGGGAUGACGGCCUUCGGGUUGUAAGCGCCUUUCGCCAGGGACGAAGCUUUUUGUGACGGUACCUAGAUAAGAAGCACCGGCUACCUACGUG